UGAGGCCUAGACCCCAACAACAACAACAAAACCCAAUGAAACUAAUGUUGACUUGCUAAUGUGGAGAUGGUUUUCAUUGCUCCAGGUGAGGGCAGUGCUAUAGGCAGCCAGUGGGUGGAAAGCAUCGAUAUUCUCUCCACAUAGGAAUCCUCACUGCAUGUAGAUCAGCCUCUCACAGCAAAAAAAAAAAAAAAAAAAAAUGUAUCUGGCCCUAGAUGUGAACAGUGCCAACCUGGUCUAACAUGUAUAUUAUAAACAAAGACAGCAAGCUACACAUGAAAAUGGUCUAUGGCUCAGUGCUUACCUGGCCUCUCCUACUCCACGUGCGGGAACCAUCUCAGGGAAUAGUCUACUCCAGGGGAAGAGGCUGUAGGACUCUGCAGGGGUAGAGCCACA
Molecule: non-coding RNA, 396 nt
Organism: Peromyscus maniculatus bairdii (prairie deer mouse)
Lineage: Eukaryota; Metazoa; Chordata; Mammalia; Rodentia; Cricetidae
Source: RefSeq, a predicted model, not a curated record